CAGUCGCCGCGGGAAUACGUAGGUGGCAAGCGUUGUCCGGAAUUAUUGGGCGUAAAGGGCUCGCAGGCGGUUUCUUAAGUCUGAUGUGAAAGCCCCCGGCUCAACCGGGGAGGGUCAUUGGAAACUGGGAAACUUGAGUGUAGAGGAGGAGAGUGGAAUUCCACAUGUAGCGGUGAAAUGCGUAGAGAUGUGGAGGAACACCAGUGGCGAAGGCGACUCUCUGGUCUGUAACUGACGCUGAGGAGCGAAAGCGUGGGGAGCGAACAGGAUUAGAUACCCCCGUAGUCCCUGUCUCUUAUAC
RNAcentral lists this ribosomal RNA (301 nucleotides) under uncultured bacterium. RNAcentral describes it as "partial 16S ribosomal RNA". It matches the Rfam family "Bacterial small subunit ribosomal RNA", at positions 509 to 807 of the family's 1533-position model. The record is from RNAcentral.